GAAACCAUGAAACUAGAAGAAAAUAUAGGCCGUACACUCUUUUGACAUCGGUCUUAUAAGCAUCUUUUUUAAUACCAAGUCUGCUUAGGCAAGAGAAACAAAAGAAAGAAUAAACAAAUGGGACUAAAUCAG
Non-coding RNA from Ceratotherium simum simum (southern white rhinoceros), 132 nucleotides. NCBI's taxonomy places the organism in Eukaryota, Metazoa, Chordata, Mammalia, Perissodactyla, Rhinocerotidae. The record is from RefSeq and is a predicted model, not a curated record.